CCUACGGGCGGCAGCAGUGGGGAAUAUUGGACAAUGGGCGAAAGCCUGAUCCAGCCAUGCCGCGUGUGUGAAGAAGGCCUUCGGGUUGUAAAGCACUUUCAGUGGGGAAGAAAGCCUUGGGGCUAAUACCCUCGAGGAAGGACAUCACCCACAGAAGAAGCACCGGCUAACUCCGUGCCAGCAGCCGCGGUAAUACGGAGGGUGCGAGCGUUAAUCGGAAUUACUGGGCGUAAAGCGCGCGUAGGCGGUCUGAUAAGCCGGUUGUGAAAGCCCCGGGCUCAACCUGGGAACGGCAUCCGGAACUGUCAGGCUAGAGUGCAGGAGAGGAAGGUAGAAUUCCCGGUGUAGCGGUGAAAUGCGUAGAGAUCGGGAGGAAUACCAGUGGAGAAGGCGGUCUUCUGGACUGACACUGACGCUGAGGUGCGAAAGCGUGGGUAGCAAACAGGAUUAGAUACCCGAGUAGUC
Molecule: ribosomal RNA, 465 nt
Filed under: Vreelandella stevensii
Lineage: Bacteria; Pseudomonadati; Pseudomonadota; Gammaproteobacteria; Oceanospirillales; Halomonadaceae
Description: partial 16S ribosomal RNA
Rfam family: Bacterial small subunit ribosomal RNA
Source: RNAcentral